CCCAGAGGCUGGGGCCCUGUCCCCCAGAAAUGCCACAGACCUCCUCUGGUCCUUGCAUGGCACCCAUGGCACUCCCUGCUUCCUUUACUACACAGAGGUACCAUUCACAGCGGAUUCAUCCCGGAGGGUGCCAUUCUGGAGAAUUGUGCUCAAGCGUCUUGUUGGAAGUCUACCAUGAGGGAAAGGCUUUCCAUAGCAAGAUGCCGGGCAAAGGGGCAAGAUGGGCAGCAGGGUUAAGCGCUUGCCCCUCUGCAGGGUUAAGGAGAGCUUAGGGAACUAUGCUACUGAUACCAGGAGCAGUGGCAAAGCUGCAUGCUCUGCUACCAGGGGCGGAGAGCAGACAGGGGCAUGGCUGGUGCCCCCCAGGGCGUGGCGCCCAGUACACAAGAGGGUGCACAGCACGUGUCCAGAGGGCGCUGCGAUGGCACUCUACCGGAAUAGUGGUGCCAGGGGCGGUCCUCUCCCUCCGCACUCCCGUUCCUCCACCAGUGACCAGACCUUUUCUCUUUUUUUUAACCAGGGAUUCCUGCAUUGGGGAAAUGACUUGAGCUGCUGUGAGCAUCCUUUUCUUAUGUCAAUGGCUUCUGCCAACUAACUCCAAUCAGGAUCUAUGUUCUGCCAGGCUCCACCCUGCUGGUUCUACCUGGGCUCCACCCUGGGGGCCAGAAUUUUAAAUGUUUAAAAUGUGCAGCUC
This is a non-coding RNA of Podarcis lilfordi (Lilford's wall lizard), 694 nucleotides long. The record is from the annotation of a GenBank genome assembly. Lineage: Eukaryota; Metazoa; Chordata; Lepidosauria; Squamata; Lacertidae.